This 31-nucleotide non-coding RNA is filed under the name Mus musculus (house mouse). Lineage: Eukaryota; Metazoa; Chordata; Mammalia; Rodentia; Muridae. The record is from RNAcentral.
UCUUUGGACACUAGAGGAAAAUUCAUCCUUA